RNAcentral lists this ribosomal RNA (931 nucleotides) under Companilactobacillus paralimentarius. RNAcentral describes it as "bacterial SSU rRNA". It matches the Rfam family "Bacterial small subunit ribosomal RNA", at positions 382 to 1305 of the family's 1533-position model. Lineage: Bacteria; Bacillati; Bacillota; Bacilli; Lactobacillales; Lactobacillaceae. The record is from RNAcentral.
UCUGAUGGAGCAUGCCGCGUGAGUGAAGAAGGUUUUCGGAUCGUAAAACUCUGUUGUUGAAGAAGAAUAUAUGUGAGAGUAACUGUUCACGUACUGACGGUAUUCAACCAGAAAGCCACGGCUAACUACGUGCCAGCAGCCGCGGUAAUACGUAGGUGGCAAGCGUUGUCCGGAUUUAUUGGGCGUAAAGAGAAUGUAGGCGGUUUAUUAAGUUUGAAGUGAAAGCCCUCGGCUCAACCGAGGAAGUGCUUCGAAAACUGGUAAACUUGAGUGCAGAAGAGGAAAGUGGAACUCCAUGUGUAGCGGUGGAAUGCGUAGAUAUAUGGAAGAACACCAGUGGCGAAGGCGGCUUUCUGGUCUGUAACUGACGCUGAGAUUCGAAAGCAUGGGUAGCAAACAGGAUUAGAUACCCUGGUAGUCCAUGCCGUAAACGAUGAGUGCUAAGUGUUGGAGGGUUUCCGCCCUUCAGUGCUGCAGCUAACGCAUUAAGCACUCCGCCUGGGGAGUACGAUCGCAAGAUUGAAACUCAAAGGAAUUGACGGGGGCCCGCACAAGCGGUGGAGCAUGUGGUUUAAUUCGAAGCAACGCGAAGAACCUUACCAGGUCUUGACAUACCAUGAAAAGCUUAGAGAUAAGUCUUUCCCUUCGGGGACAUGGAUACAGGUGGUGCAUGGUUGUCGUCAGCUCGUGUCGUGAGAUGUUGGGUUAAGUCCCGCAACGAGCGCAACCCUUAUUAUCAGUUGCCAGCAUUCAGUUGGGCACUCUGGUGAGACUGCCGGUGAUAAACCGGGAGGAAGGUGGGGACGACGUCAAAUCAUCAUGCCCCUUAUGACCUGGGCUACACACGUGCUACAAUGGUCGGUACAACGUGCUGCGAACUCGCGAGGGGCAAGCAAAUCACUUAAAACCGAUCUCAGUUCGGAUUGUAGGC